CUCUCGGGGUUACAGCCUUGCUGAAUUAUUCACCCUUGUCUUUUGCGUACUUCUUGUUUCCUUGGUGGGUUCGCCCACCACUAGGACAAACAUAAACCUUUUGUAAUUGCAAUCAGCGUCAGUAACAAAUUAAUAAUUACAACUUUCAACAACGGAUCUCUUGGUUCUGGCAUCGAUGAAGAACGCAGCGAAAUGCGAUAAGUAGUGUGAAUUGCAGAAUUCAGUGAAUCAUCGAAUCUUUGAACGCACAUUGCGCCCUUUGGUAUUCCAAAGGGCAUGCCUGUUCGAGCGUCAUUUGUACCCUCAAGCUUUGCUUGGUGUUGGGCGUCUUGUCUCUAGCUUUGCUGGAGACUCGCCUUAAAGUAAUUGGCAGCCGGCCUACUGGUUUCGGAGCGCAGCACAAGUCGCACUCUCUAUCAGCAAAGGUCUAGCAUCCAUUAAGCCUUUUUUCAACUUUUGACCUCGGAUCAGGUAGGGAUACCCGCUGAACUUAAGCAUAUC
This 501-nucleotide ribosomal RNA is filed under the name Alternaria sp. DY115-21-1-M14. RNAcentral describes it as "eukaryotic LSU rRNA". The stretch from base 141 to 294 matches the Rfam family "5.8S ribosomal RNA". Lineage: Eukaryota; Fungi; Ascomycota; Dothideomycetes; Pleosporales; Pleosporaceae. The record is from RNAcentral.